RNAcentral lists this long non-coding RNA (347 nucleotides) under Actinidia chinensis (golden kiwifruit). RNAcentral describes it as "long non-coding RNA (ACHI_LNC006502)". Lineage: Eukaryota; Viridiplantae; Streptophyta; Magnoliopsida; Ericales; Actinidiaceae. The record is from RNAcentral.
ACCUCAUGGACCCGAAAAGUGAGUGAACUCGACCGAGAUCCCGACCUGAGAUGGUCACGCGGCUCUGAAUCGUUCACCCACCCGGUCACCAACUCUGUUACGAAUAGGAUAGUUUGGAACCUCCACCCGACUUAGAUCCGGACUGGGAUUCAUCCUCAUGGACCCGAGGAGUUCGAGAUCACGAACUGAGCUGGUCACGCGGCUCAGACUCGUUCACCCACCCAGUCACCAACUCUGUUACGAAUCGGAUAGUUUGGAACCCUCCACCCGACUUAGAUCCGGACUGGGAUUCAUCCUCAUGGACCCGAGAAGUGAGUCAACUCGAACGAGAUCCCGCACAGAUACUG